RNAcentral lists this long non-coding RNA (317 nucleotides) under Homo sapiens (human). RNAcentral describes it as "HSALNT0235197". Lineage: Eukaryota; Metazoa; Chordata; Mammalia; Primates; Hominidae. The record is from RNAcentral.
GGUGCCUCAGGUUCCUGUGGCCGCGGGGACAAAGCUCACAGCCUGGCUGGCUUAGAACACAGGCUUGUGUUCUCGUGCAGGUUCUCUGUGAGGUGAAAUGGUGAGGCUGCCCUAUAUGUGUCCUUAAGGCAGAAUGUGGACUCCAUGCAGGGGUCACCCAGAAGCUGUGACCUGGAGGUGGUCCUGCAGGUGGCUGUGAGGGGCUCUCUGGCUAACAGACUGAGGACAGGUGUCUCUCCAUCAUUUUUUCUCAUAAAGGAGUGAGUCAGCAGGCUUGAAGAAGGUGGCCGGCUUGGCCUGGAGGCUGGACGUUUGAG